This 492-nucleotide ribosomal RNA is filed under the name uncultured bacterium. Its description in RNAcentral is "partial 16S ribosomal RNA". It matches the Rfam family "Bacterial small subunit ribosomal RNA", at positions 29 to 507 of the family's 1533-position model. The record is from RNAcentral.
AAUGAACGCUGGCGGCGUGCCUAAGACAUGCAAGUCGAGCGAGAACACCGUAAGGGUGGUCUGCUGCGGAUGGCGCGGGAAGGAUGAGUGACACAUCCAUCAGCUUCGUCUUAGCCGUGGGUAACUUCGGGUAACAACUGAUAAUACCACCGAAUAUAAUGUACGGUUCGGAUCAAGGGUGAGUCUGAGUUUUCUUGUCUCAUUGAGGUGGUACCGGAUUAGCUAGGUGGGGGGGUAAAGGCCCACCAAGGCGACGAUCCGUAGCUGGGCUGAGAGGAUGAUCAGCCACACUGGAACUGAGACACGGUCCAGACUCCUACGGGAGGCAGCAGUGGGGAAUAUUGGACAAUGGGCGCAAGCCUGAUCCAGCAAUACCGCGUGGGUGAAGAAGGCCUUCGGGUUGUAAAGCCCUUUUGUUAGGAAAGAAAAGAUGCAGGUGAAUACCCCCAUGUUUUGACGGUACCCAAAGAAUAAGCACCGGCUAACUUCGUG